This 85-nucleotide small RNA is filed under the name Arabidopsis thaliana (thale cress). RNAcentral's name for it is "ATSL164100". The record is from RNAcentral. Lineage: Eukaryota; Viridiplantae; Streptophyta; Magnoliopsida; Brassicales; Brassicaceae.
AAGAAAAAAACCGAAAACAAAGAGGGAUGCAACACGAAGACUUUCCUGGAGGUCACCCAUCCUAGUACUACUCUCACCCAAGCAC